Non-coding RNA from Gasterosteus aculeatus (three-spined stickleback), 54 nucleotides. Lineage: Eukaryota; Metazoa; Chordata; Actinopteri; Perciformes; Gasterosteidae. The record is from Rfam.
UUUAAAGUGUAAUGUAAGUCGCUUUGGAUAAAAGCGUCAGCUAAAUGACAUCUA